This 1166-nucleotide long non-coding RNA is filed under the name Homo sapiens (human). RNAcentral's name for it is "non-protein coding lnc-BRD1-29:5". The record is from RNAcentral. Lineage: Eukaryota; Metazoa; Chordata; Mammalia; Primates; Hominidae.
AUCCGCGAGAGAGGCGCGCGCCCGCCACCGCUGGGGGCUCCAGCCGCCCGCCGACCCGGGCCUGGCAGAGGGGACGCGGCGCCCAAGCCGCUCCUCCGGAUGGCGACAGAGACGGCCUGACGCGCCCGCAGCCUGGGCCCCCCACGGGGAGGACGGCCGGGCCAGGUGAAGUUCGCGCACUUGGGCCUUCCGCGCCCCCAUCCACCGCAGCCAGGGCCUGGAAGGCUGGGGAGGGGGCGGGGGCGGCAGACGCCUCCUAAGGUGGGUUCUGGGACUUGGAUCCGGAGUUUAUUCCAAGGAGAGGGUGCUCUGGGCCUGUUCCCUAGGUGUGCCCUGUUACCCAAAAUCGGGCUUGUGCAGUGGGGUCCCUGAGUCCACUGGGAGCACAGCCUCAGACCCCAGCAGAGUCACCCUUCAUCGGAAGCCCACCACCCUGAGGGCUCCUCCUCCACCUGGGGCGGCACUGCCAGGCACAGGCACGCACUUUCCCUCAGUCCUCUGCCCCACGAUCACUCUACUCGGGCACCUCUGCCACUGCCUGGUCCUUGCUGAGCCAUCUCCUGGUUCAUCUCCCUGGAGUCCCUGCAGGACCGGCUCUCAGUGGCGUCUCCGGGCUCCCAGUCCCAGGACUGGUCCUAUCCAGGUGGGUUUUCUGAGCAGGAUGACAAUGAUCGCAAUCUAUUUUACCUGCAUAGUCAACGAUCAUCUGCAAGACAGGUUCACUCCUAUAACAAGCAAAGGAUGGGGGGAAAAUGAGCCUUGUAAGGACACAAGGACACUUUCCCCAUCUCCAACCCUCCUAGUCAUGUCCCCUCUGCACCUCCCUCUACAGCCCAGGAGAUACGCUCCCCAGUCCAGGAUGUCCAGAUGGCCCUGCUGCCUGGAGAGGCUCUGGCCCCUGCCGGUAGCUGCCACAGCACCACCCCAAGCUCUGCCUUCCUGCAGGUUCGUGCACACGACUAAUAGAACCCCUCCUCUGGAACUCACAAGAUAUUCUCCAUCCUGCAUAGGGCUGGGGGCUUGAGCACCCCAGGAGAUUCUUUUGGCGCUGGAGACCCUUUUCUGAGGAGCCAGUAGAGGGCCUGCAAGUCAGAUUGAGCAACCAGGGAGAAGAAGCAUCAUCCCUUCAUCUUGAGGCCUGGUCCAGGGAGGUGAAGGGAUGUGGA